Long non-coding RNA from Sarcophilus harrisii (Tasmanian devil), 2162 nucleotides. Lineage: Eukaryota; Metazoa; Chordata; Mammalia; Dasyuromorphia; Dasyuridae. The record is from Ensembl.
GCUGGUUACUGAAACCCUUAUGUAUUCAUUAUAAGCUUUGGGACAUUUGACAGGUUUUUUUCAGUUACUUUAUUAUAAUAUCCUAAACGUGAAAAACUUUAUAAACUGCUAUGUAUGACCUCAUGUUGUAUGGGCCAAGACUGCCUCACAAAUCUUAAUUUGUUUAUUCCUGUUACUAGUUUCUUCCUUUGUUUUUAUAUUCAUUUACCCUUCAGGUACACAAAAGAAAGUGUAAAAUUAUGCUUUUUAUCCCUUCUUACCCCCAACCCUUUUUUUAAUAUAAGUAGGUUUUCAGGAAAACUCUACAUCAUUAGUUACUGAGAUGUUUCAAAGUGAAUAAGCAUUUAUAUAGCUUUAUAUGUUUGCUAUGGAAGAUGAUUUUUUAUUAAUAGAGUAAUGAACCAAGGAAUAGGUUAUUAGGGAGAGCUAGUAAAUAUCUUUUAUGUGUAAACCCUCAUUAAAUUGGAAUUUGUUACAUUUUCUACAUGCUAGGUGGAAGUGUUGUUUUGUUUUUGCAUUAAUUAGGAAGGUGUUUUCUACAAAAGUUGAUAUGGAUAUAAAGGAGGAAAAAUGUAGAACCUGUUCAUAAACUACUUUCAUCAUAUGUGCUUGUAAAGAAUGAAUGCAAAUUAUUCUCACCUAUAUAUACCAAAAAUUAUCUAAAACAGGGUUGUAGUUCUCCAUGUAUUUUAAGAAAAAUGUCAUUUUAUGAUUUAAGUUCCAUAACUCAACCUUUUAAUAGUGUUGAUCUGACCCAGCCCCACUGAAGGCAACAUACUAUAAGGUUUUACUGUAUGCUUAAAUACCUGGAGUCUUUUCAAGAAAUCCUUUAAAACAGAGUAAUGGGGGGGGGGGGGGGGGGGGGGAGGAGAAGAAGGAGAGGAAGUUGGUCUUAAGACCACAGAGAACUGAUAAGAUGGACUUAGAAUUCACCUAUUGGUUUUUUUUUUUUUUUUUUUAGCAAACAAUUAGGAUAGUAUAAAUGUAUAAUUUCUUAUUUACAGAGGUGUCAACUUAAAACUAUUAGCAAUCAUUUCUUACCUUUCUCAAUGUAGUUACUACCAGAAUAGGCUUUUUAUGUGCCCCUCCCUCUCUUUUCUGUGUUUCUUCUCUUCUAGUUGCCAUUUGUCUAAAGGUUACCUUAUGGAACUGAGGUCUUUACAUCAUUUUUGCCUAUCAACUACUUGAUAAUAUGAUCAAAAACUCAACAUGAUAGCAGCAGGGACCUUUGGCAAUUAAACUCUCAGCCCUGAUUUUCUAGUGCUGGCCUGACUAAAAUUUCUAUCUGGAGUUUAAUAGGACUUUUCAAACUUUAUAAGGAAUACACAGGCAUAUCUAGCACUGAUUCAUUUUGCUCAAGUUAUCUUUAUAUCUUCUUAAAUCAGAAUUCAUGCUCAGGUCCAUUAAAAAAAAAACCUUAAAUUUAGAGAAGCUGAUAGAGCAAAACAAUUUGAAAAAACAUUUGCCUACUGUUGAAAAGUCAUCAGUUUUAUUAUGAAAACCAUCUUAGACACUAAGCUUAAGCAGAUUUCUUUUGAUAUUUGCCAAAUGAGGUGCUAAUUUAUAAUUAUUUUGUUAGCUUUGCUAUGUAGAAGAAAACAGGUAAAGGGGGAAACUAAUGAAAGAAUCUUAUUUUCUUAGAACAUGCCUAUGGUUUUGUUAUGAUUGUAGUGGCAUAUUCACAUAUGAUGUAUACUUAAAUGCUUAAGAACUUGAAAAUUCACUCAUGGCUUUAUUAUAUGCAGUUUUCAAAAUUUGUGGAAGUUAUAUUACAUGAUGGUUAGGAAUUUAAUCAGUAUUUGAGUUACAAAAAGCAACGCACUGCAUCACUAUAUUCAGCUUAUUUAUUCAUCUUUUUAUUUCUUAACAUGAAAGGGUAGUAUGACAAAGGUGCAAUAUUCCUAGUUAUUUUUUUUAAAUUAAAUUGAAGCUUACAACAUUAUUCAAGUCAAAAUUUAGAUUUUUUUUAGAUAGUAAUUUAACAACUUGAUUUAUAUGUUAUAUAUUUUUUCUUUUAGUUCUAAUACUUCACAAAAAUAUUGCUUUGGACAGCAUUAGAUGAGGUAAUUCAGUUCUCUGCAUUUCAUGUAGCUGGUAGUUAAUAGCUUGUUUUUAUCAAUGCUCAUUUUACACCUUUUUUUGCAUGUUACUUUUUCUUAUGC